AAAUGCCCAGGACGUGUACAUCCACUGUCUCAGUGCUGAGGUGCUAGAGACACUGGAUGACAGCUUGAUUUGAUUCGAGAUGGAAUAAAUUGCAUGUAAGAAAAGCUAAAAACCUCAAACCACAGUGAGGUGACACAAAAGAGAUAUAAAAAGGGCAGGCAGACCGUUGGCAACAAACUUGUCACAACGGUCCAGAAAUGGCGGAAUCGACGAUUUCCAUUUCUGAUGGCACAUACAUGGAUCUCACCUCUCCAGACCAUAACGUGUACGCAUCAUUGGGUGCGAGACCGAGCAAAACAGGACAAAGCUCUCCUCUCUACAGACAGGCUGCAGUGGCUCUGGGGCUGCUGUGUGUCAUCUUACUGACUGCCACCAUCACCCUUUGUGUCCUCUAU
Molecule: long non-coding RNA, 395 nt
Organism: Conger conger (European conger)
Lineage: Eukaryota; Metazoa; Chordata; Actinopteri; Anguilliformes; Congridae
Exons: 3
Source: RefSeq, a predicted model, not a curated record